GUCCUGGUAGCUCAAUUGGAUAGAGCAAUUCCGUCCUAAGGAAAAGGUUAUAGGUUCGACUCCUAUCCAGGAUACCA
RNAcentral lists this transfer RNA (77 nucleotides) under TM7 phylum sp. oral taxon 350. RNAcentral describes it as "tRNA-Arg". It matches the Rfam family "tRNA". From Rfam's summary of the family: Transfer RNA (tRNA) molecules are approximately 80 nucleotides in length. Lineage: Bacteria; Candidatus Saccharimonadota. RNAcentral also lists the same sequence under 2 other names. The record is from RNAcentral.